GCACUAAUAGUUUAGAAGAAUUUCACUUUGUGGAAGUGGCGGCGAAUGUAUGUCUUAGUGUA
RNAcentral lists this transfer RNA (62 nucleotides) under Pedicinus badii. Its description in RNAcentral is "tRNA-His". The record is from RNAcentral. Lineage: Eukaryota; Metazoa; Arthropoda; Insecta; Psocodea; Pedicinidae.